AAAAAAAAUAAAUAAAAUAAUAAUAAUAAAAAAUUAAACGUAAAGUUCUGUAGUGAAAAAAACAAAACAAAUUCUGGUGCAAUGUUUCUACACUUUGCUUAAAAUAUCAUAAUUCACGAGCAUCUCACUGUGUCAUAUGCUUGAGAAUCAGCCAGAACAUUGUCUUCCAUUCUCAUAUAUGCUUUUUGCCUUUACAAUACCAUGACGAGGCCAUUACUACUCUUACAGGUGUGUUUAAUUGUUAUUUGGCUCAGAGGAAGAUAAAAAUAAAUAAUAUUUCUGUCAAGUUUACUGAUGUUUAAGGGUGGGGGGGAAGCACUUUAAAGUGUCCACGAAAUGCACAUCAUACAACAGCCACUAUUUUUGGAAGUUUGCAAAUAUGAUGAAGGGUGGUGUAUGUGUUGUAAUGAAUUUUCAUCAUCUCAGGUGAAUUUAAAUGAUUUUAAAACCUGUUUAAAAAGCCACUUUAGUAUCGAUUGAGGACGUUUUAGGAACUCAGCUUCAGGUCAUGCCUAAGAACAGCCUUUACUUUUGGUAAAUCCACUAUGAAGAAAAGCCUCUUGUGACUUACUGCAUAAGUAAAAGCAUCUCAAAAAUAAAGACAGAAUUUUAUCAGGCAAAGUGCACAAGGCUGAAUGGAAUAGAGGGGUCUCUCAGAGACUAAAGCCCAGACAGUGUGCAGUGAGAGGAAGAGGGCAUACGCCUCAAGACUGGGCACUUAGACAUAAAUAAUUGACAGGACAGAGUCAGUGUCACUGUUUUGCUGCUUGGAGAGAGGAGAAGCCUGUCAGCUGUGACAGUGAGGUAAAAAGAGUGAGAGAGGGGUCGAGCAGCAGUCUCGAGAGACACUAGACUAUCUUGAAUAUUCUUUACCCACAUAUUUCAAAGACAAUGGGGCAUCAUUUAAUCAGUCUCAUUGUUGGUUUAAUAGUGAGUCAAAU
This 941-nucleotide long non-coding RNA is filed under the name Carassius auratus (goldfish). Its description in RNAcentral is "lncRNA (ENSCARG00000017149.1)". Lineage: Eukaryota; Metazoa; Chordata; Actinopteri; Cypriniformes; Cyprinidae. The record is from RNAcentral.